GGGUCAUUAGCUCAGUAGGUAGAGCACAGGACUUUUAAUCCUGGUGUCCCGGGUUCGAGCCCCGGAUGACUCA
RNAcentral lists this transfer RNA (73 nucleotides) under Clostridiales bacterium. Its description in RNAcentral is "tRNA-Lys". It matches the Rfam family "tRNA". From Rfam's summary of the family: Transfer RNA (tRNA) molecules are approximately 80 nucleotides in length. The record is from RNAcentral. Lineage: Bacteria; Bacillati; Bacillota; Clostridia; Eubacteriales.